This 1449-nucleotide ribosomal RNA is filed under the name Streptomyces sp. RNAcentral's name for it is "bacterial SSU rRNA". It matches the Rfam family "Bacterial small subunit ribosomal RNA". The record is from RNAcentral. Lineage: Bacteria; Bacillati; Actinomycetota; Actinomycetes; Kitasatosporales; Streptomycetaceae.
AAACAUGACAAGUUCGAACGAUGAAGCCUUUCGGGGUGGAUUAGUGGCGAACGGGUGAGUAACACGUGGGCAAUCUGCCCUUCACUCUGGGACAAGCCCUGGAAACGGGGUCUAAUACCGGAUAACACUCUGUCCCGCAAGGGACGGGGUUAAAAGCUCCGGCGGUGAAGGAUGAGCCCGCGGCCUAUCAUCUUGUUGGUGGGGUAAUGGCCUACCAAGGCGACGACGGGUAGCCGGCCUGAGAGGGCGACCGGCCACACUGGGACUGAGACACGGCCCAGACUCCUACGGGAGGCAGCAGUGGGGAAUAUUGCACAAUGGGCGAAAGCCUGAUGCAGCGACGCCGCGUGAGGGAUGACGGCCUUCGGGUUGUAAACCUCUUUCAGCAGGGAAGAAGCGAAAGUGACGGUACCUGCAGAAGAAGCGCCGGCUAACUACGUGCCAGCAGCCGCGGUAAUACGUAGGGCGCAAGCGUUGUCCGGAAUUAUUGGGCGUAAAGAGCUCGUAGGCGGCUUGUCACGUCGGAUGUGAAAGCCCGGGGCUUAACCCCGGGUCUGCAUUCGAUACGGGCUAGCUAGAGUGUGGUAGGGGAGAUCGGAAUUCCUGGUGUAGCGGUGAAAUGCGCAGAUAUCAGGAGGAACACCGGUGGCGAAGGCGGAUCUCUGGGCCAUUACUGACGCUGAGGAGCGAAAGCGUGGGGAGCGAACAGGAUUAGAUACCCUGGUAGUCCACGCCGUAAACGUUGGGAACUAGGUGUUGGCGACAUUCCACGUCGUCGGUGCCGCAGCUAACGCAUUAAGUUCCCCGCCUGGGGAGUACGGCCGCAAGGCUAAAACUCAGAGGAAUUGACGGGGGCCCGCACAAGCAGCGGAGCAUGUGGCUUAAUUCGACGCAACGCGAAGAACCUUACCAAGGCUUGACAUAUACCGGAAAGCAUCAGAGAUGGUGCCCCCCUUGUGGUCGGUAUACAAGGUGGUGCAAGGCUGUCGUCACCUCCUGUCGUGAGAAGUUGGGGUUAAUUCCCCCCACCGAGGGCAACCCUUUGUUUUUUUGUUUCCCCCAUGGCCCUCUCGGGUGGAUGGGGACUCACAGGAGACUGCCGGGGUCAACUCGGAGGAAGGUGGGGACGACGUCAAGUCAUCAUGCCCCUUAUGUCUUGGGCUGCACACGUGCUACAAUGGCCGGUACAAUGAGCUGCGAUGCCGCGAGGCGGAGCGAAUCUCAAAAAGCCGGUCUCAGUUCGGAUUGGGGUCUGCAACUCGACCCCAUGAAGUCGGAGUUGCUAGUAAUCGCAGAUCAGCAUUGCUGCGGUGAAUACGUUCCCGGGCCUUGUACACACCGCCCGUCACGUCACGAAAGUCGGUAACACCCGAAGCCGGUGGCCCAACCCCUUGUGGGAGGGAGCUGUCGAAGGUGGGACUUGCGAUUGGGACGAAAGUCGAAUAAGAG